UACGGAGGGUGCAAGCGUUAUCCGGAUUCACUGGGUUUAAAGGGUGCGUAGGUGGAUUGGUAAGUCAGUGGUGAAAUCUCCGGGCUUAACUCGGAAACUGCCAUUGAUACUAUCAAUCUUGAAUAUUGUGGAGGUUAGCGGAAUAUGUCAUGUAGCGGUGAAAUGCUUAGAUAUGACAUAGAACACCAAUUGCGAAGGCAGCUGGCUACACAUAUAUUGACACUGAGGCACGAAAGCGUGGGGAGCAAACAGG
Molecule: ribosomal RNA, 253 nt
Filed under: uncultured bacterium
Lineage: Bacteria
Description: partial 16S ribosomal RNA
Rfam family: Bacterial small subunit ribosomal RNA
Source: RNAcentral